RNA transcript from Mus pahari (shrew mouse), 764 nucleotides. It is a transcript of the gene named biorientation of chromosomes in cell division protein 1 pseudogene, with no coding region annotated. The record is from RefSeq and is a predicted model, not a curated record. The transcript has a single exon. NCBI's taxonomy places the organism in Eukaryota, Metazoa, Chordata, Mammalia, Rodentia, Muridae.
GCGCGGGGUGCGGCCAUGGCGGACGGUGCGGGAGCCGGCGCGGAGGGCCAGGCCUCGGGACCGGUCCGGGGCUCGAGUGGGGCGGGCGGCCCGGUCAAUCCCUCUUCUCUGUCUCCAGGAGACCCGCAGUUCAUCGCUCUCAUAGUGGAGCAGCUCAAGAGCCAGCCGUGGGCUGUUUGACAGCUUCCGCAGGGACUGCCUGGCCGAUGUGGAAACUAAGCCAACUUACCAGAACCUGAGGCAGAAGGUGGAUAAUUUUGUGUCAACACAUCUGGACAAUCAGGAAUGGAAUCCUGCAAUGAACAAUAACCAGUUGCGAAAUGGGCUGAGGCAGAGUGUGGUUCAGUCAGGCAUGUUGGAAGCAGGAGUGGACAGGAUCAUUUCCCAAGUGGUAGACACCAAACUAAACCAUAUCUUCAGGCCACAGAUAGAGCGAGCAAUCCAUGAGUUCCUGGCUGCCCAGAAAAAAGAAGCUGUGCCAGCUCCACCUCCAGAACCUGAAAGCCAGGAUCCUCCAGCACCAUCCCAAGAUGCUUCCUAAGAAUAUGCCUGAUACCUUUGGAAAGCUCUACUUACGAAAUGGAUUCCUGUUUCAUACGAAUAUAACUUUAGUCGACCGUGUCAUUACUGAUGUCAAGAUUUUGGCCUUGACUGUUGUGGUGUCCACUACGGAUGGAGAGCAAGUUUGGUGGUGGGACAGUUACCUGUACUUGCUUAUGGAUUGUGUUACCUUUGACCAGCCUGUCGAAGGGCGUGACCCCAGU